AUGGGAACGCGAAGAACCUUACCUACUCUUGACAUCCAGAGAACUUUCCAGAGAUGGAUUGGUGCCUUCGGGAACUCUGAGACAGGUGCUGCAUGGCUGUCGUCAGCUCGUGUUGUGAAAUGUUGGGUUAAGUCCCGCAACGAGCGCAACCCGUUAUCCUUUGUUGCCAGCGGUCCGGCCGGGAACUCAAAGGAGACUGCCAGUGACAAACUGGAGGAAGGUGGGGAUGACGUCAAGUCAUCAUGGCCCUUACGAGUAGGGCUACACACGUGCUACAAUGGCGCAUACAAAGAGAAGCGACCUCGCGAGAGCAAGCGGACCUCAUAAAGUGCGUCGUAGUCCGGAUUGGAGUCCGCAACUCGACUCCAUGAAGUCGGAAUCGCUAGUAAUCGUAGAUCAGAAUGCUACGGUGAAUACGUUCCCGGGUCUUGUACACACCGAGUCGUGGGA
This 450-nucleotide ribosomal RNA is filed under the name uncultured bacterium. RNAcentral's name for it is "bacterial SSU rRNA". It matches the Rfam family "Bacterial small subunit ribosomal RNA", at positions 954 to 1404 of the family's 1533-position model. The record is from RNAcentral.